GAUGAACGCUGGCGGCGUGCUUAACACAUGCAAGUCGAACGAAGCAUUUGCGACAGAUUUUUUCGGAAUGAAGUUGCUUAUGACUGAGUGGCGGACGGGUGAGUAACGCGUGGGUAACCUGCCUUGUACUGGGGGAUAGCAGCUGGAAACGGCUGGUAAUACCGCAUAAGCGCACAAUGUUGCAUGACAUGGUGUGAAAAACUCCGGUGGUAUAAGAUGGACCCGCGUCUGAUUAGCUAGUUGGUGAGAUAACAGCCCACCAAGGCGACGAUCAGUAGCCGACCUGAGAGGGUGACCGGCCACAUUGGGACUGAGACACGGCCCAGACUCCUACGGGAGGCAGCAGUGGCGAAUAUUGCACAAUGGAGGAAACUCUGAUGCAGCGACGCCGCGUGAGUGAAGAAGUAAUUCGUUAUGUAAAGCUCUAUCAGCAGGGAAGAUAGUGACGGUACCUGACUAAGAAGCUCCGGCUAAAUACGUG
Molecule: ribosomal RNA, 481 nt
Filed under: uncultured bacterium
Lineage: Bacteria
Description: partial 16S ribosomal RNA
Rfam family: Bacterial small subunit ribosomal RNA
Source: RNAcentral